This 567-nucleotide ribosomal RNA is filed under the name uncultured bacterium. Its description in RNAcentral is "partial 16S ribosomal RNA". It matches the Rfam family "Bacterial small subunit ribosomal RNA", at positions 355 to 1375 of the family's 1533-position model. The record is from RNAcentral.
UGGGGAAUAUUGCACAAUGGGCGCAAGCCUGAUGCAGCGACGCCGCGUGAGGGAUGACGGCCUUCGGGUUGUAAACCUCUUUCAGCAGGGACGAAGCGCAAGUGACGGUACCUGCAGAAGAAGCACCGGCCAACUACGUGCCAGCAGCCGCGGUAAUACGUAGGGUGCGAGCGUUGUCCGGAAUUACUGGGCGUAAAGAGCUCGUAGGCGGUUUGUCGCGUCGUCUGUGAAAUUCUGCAGCUUAACUGCAGGCGUGCAGGCGAUACGGGCAGACUUGAGUACUACAGGGGAGACUGGAAUUCCUGGUGUAGCGGUGAAAUGCGCAGAUAUCAGGAGGAACACCGGUGGCGAAGGCGGGUCUCUGGGUAGUAACUGACGCUGAGGAGCGAAAGCGUGGGUAGCGAACAGGAUUAGAUACCCUGGUAGUCCACGCCGUAAACGGUGGGUACUAGGUGUGGGUUCCAUUUCACGGGAUCCGUGCCGUAGCUAACGCAUUAAGUACCCGCCUGGGGAGUACGGCCGCAAGGCUAAAACUUAAAUGAAUUGACGGGGUCAUAGCUGUUUCCU